GCCUCGGUGGUGUAGUGGUAGUAGCACGCGUCUGCGGUAAGGAUGAAACACGGGUUUGAUUCCCGCCUGAGGCC
Parelaphostrongylus tenuis is the source of this 74-nucleotide non-coding RNA. The record is from the annotation of a GenBank genome assembly. NCBI's taxonomy places the organism in Eukaryota, Metazoa, Nematoda, Chromadorea, Rhabditida, Metastrongylidae.